GUGGGCGGGGCUGCGGGUUGUCUUCCUGCUCCACUAUCUGCCAGGUGUUCUUCACUCUCUGCAGGGUCAUCUUCAUCGAUCAGUGCGCUCUCCGUCCGCCUUCUCCCGGUUGCUUUUGUGGAAACAUGGCGGCGCCUCUGACCGAUCAGGAGAAGCGGAAACAGAUCAGCGUUCGGGGCAUCGCCGGCCUCGGAGAUGUGGCGGAAAUCAAGCGGAGUUUUAACCGACACCUUCACUUCACCCUGGUGAAGGACCGGAACGUAGCGACUCCCCGGGACUACUACUUCGCCCUGGCACACACAGUCCGGGACCACCUGGUGGGCCGCUGGAUCCGCACCCAGCAGUACUACUAUGAGAAAGACCCCAAGAGGGUUUAUUAUCUGUCUCUGGAGUUCUACAUGGGCAGAACGCUGCAGAACACCAUGAUCAACCUGGGCCUGCAGAACGCCUGCGAUGAGGCUGUCUACCAGCUGGGUUUGGACAUGGAGGACCUGGAGGAGAUUGAGGAGGAUGCUGGUCUGGGAAAUGGUGGACUGGGACGACUGGCAGCGUGUUUCCUGGACUCCAUGGCGACUCUCGGCCUGGCGGCGUAUGGCUACGGUAUUCGUUAUGAGUUCGGCAUCUUCAACCAGAAGAUCAGCAACGGAUGGCAGGUGGAGGAGGCAGAUGAUUGGCUGAGGUACGGGAACCCCUGGGAGAAGGCGAGACCCGAGUACAUGUUGCCGGUUCACUUCUACGGCCGAGUGGAGACGACGGAGAGUGGUGUGAAGUGGGUCGACACACAGGUGGUGUUGGCGAUGCCCUAUGACACUCCAGUUCCUGGUUACCAUAACAACACUGUGAACACGAUGCGGCUGUGGUCGGCUAAAGCUCCGAACGACUUCAAACUGCAGAACUUUAAUGUUGGUGAUUACGUCGAAGCUGUUCUGGACAGAAACCUGGCAGAAAACAUCUCCAGAGUCCUCUACCCUAAUGACAAUUUUUUCGAGGGGAAGGAGCUGCGUCUGAAGCAGGAGUACUUCGUGGUCGCAGCCACGCUGCAGGACAUCAUCCGCAGGUUCAAAUCCUCCAAGUUUGGCUGCAGGGACCCCGUGAGGACUUCCUUCGACUCGUUUCCCAACAAGGUGGCCAUCCAGCUGAACGACACCCACCCAGCGCUGGCCAUCCCCGAGCUGAUGAGGAUCCUGGUGGACGUGGAGAAGCUAGACUGGGACAAGGCGUGGGACAUCACCUGCCGUACCUGCGCAUACACCAACCACACGGUGCUGCCCGAGGCGUUGGAGCGCUGGCCCGUGUUCCUGUUCGAACAGCUGCUGCCUCGACACCUGCUCAUCAUCUACGACAUCAACCAGAGACACCUGGACAGGGUGGCGGCCAUGUUCCCCGGCGACGUCGACCGUCUGCGUCGGAUGUCUCUGAUCGAGGAGGGAGAGCCGAAGAGGAUCAACAUGGCUCACCUGUGUGUGGUCGGGUCUCACGCCGUCAACGGAGUCGCUCAGAUUCAUUCAGACAUCGUCAGGACCACCGUCUUUAGAGAUUUCCAUGAGGUGAAUCCUGAGAAGUUUCAGAAUAAAACCAACGGCAUCACUCCUCGCCGCUGGCUGCUGCUGUGUAACCCCGCCCUCGCUGACAUCAUCGCUGAGAGGAUCGGAGACGACUUCCUUGCUGACCUGCAGCAGCUGAAGAAAAUCCUGCAGUUUGUCGAUGACGAGGCCUUCAUCAGAGAUGUGUCCAGAGUCAAACAGGAGAACAAGCUGAAGUUCGCCUCCUACCUGCAGCAGCACCACCAGGUGAAGGUGAACCCAGACUCCAUCUUUGACGUGCAGGUGAAGAGGAUCCACGAGUACAAGAGGCAGCUGCUCACCUGUCUGCACGCCAUCACGCUCUACAACCGAAUCAAACUGGAGCCAAACAGAGAGUUUGUCCCCCGGACGGUGAUGAUCGGAGGAAAGGCGGCUCCUGGUUACCACAUGGCCAAACUCAUCAUCAAACUGAUCACCUCAGUGGGUCAUGUGAUCAACAAUGACCUGGCGGUCGGAGACAAACUGAAGGUGAUCUUCCUGGAAAACUACAGAGUGUCUCUGGCUGAGAGAGUGAUCCCGGCUGCAGACCUCUCGGAGCAGAUCUCCACAGCAGGAACGGAAGCUUCUGGAACGGGAAACAUGAAGUUCAUGUUGAACGGAGCGCUGACCAUCGGCACCAUGGACGGAGCCACGGUGGAGAUGGCCGAGGAGGCCGGACAGGAAAACCUCUUCAUCUUCGGCAUGAGAGUGAUGGACGUGGAUAAGAUGGACAGGCAGGGCUACAACGCCGCAGAGUUCUACGAGCGUCUGCCGGAGCUGAAACUGGCUGUGGAUCAGAUCCAGAGCGGCUUCUUCAGUCCCACUCAGCCCCAACUCUUCAGAGACCUGACCGACAUGCUGAUGACGCACGACAGGUUUAAGGUGUUUGCUGAUUUCGAGGCCUACGUCAGGUGUCAGGAGAGAGUCAGCGAGCUGUACAAGAACCCCGGAGAGUGGACCAGGAUGGUGAUCCGCAACAUCGCCGCCUCGGGAAAGUUCUCCAGCGACCGCACCAUCUCCCAGUACGCCCGCGAGAUCUGGGGAGUCGAACCAUCUGACGUGAAGAUCCCUCCGCCGAACGAGCCGCCGUUCGAGUCCCGGAUCUGAAGAGUUGAACCGCAGCGUCGAGUAGGUGAUCGAUGUCGACGGCUGGGACGGAGUCUUUGAACACACUCGGUUGAGUUUGCUGGUUGGGUGAACGAGGACGUGUCGGUGUGUCCUCAUUCAGCAGGCUGAGCUGCCUGACCUUCUGUUGGCCUGGAAGCUAAUAUGCUACAAGCUAAUGAGGAUUAGACAGAAGCCGAGUGAAGCCAACAGCAGAACUCUGCGUGUCCAAACAAAUACAAUGGGAUCAAUUUACAAACCAGACUGAGAGGCAGCCUAAAACGUCCAUUUUCUACUGCACUGAAGAAGAAGUGAGACAGAACUACGGCAAGUAAAACUCCGGGGUCAUCAGCAACAAAAUAAAAGAAUAAAACACCUGAACAGGAAGGAGGCGCUGAGCUACCAAAAUAAGAGUCUGGUAGGUCAGAUGAACUCGAGUAUCACAGUGAAAAUCCUGCUGGUUCUUCUCCAGUAUCUGUAAGUCACAGCUGGUUAGCAUAGCUUAGCAUAAAGGUAACAACCGCCAGUUUGUGUCAUCUGGACAAAACCUGACGUGUGCACCAGUUUACUGGGCCACUUGCCACAUUACUGAGACUCUUUUCAUAUCGUUUUGUUUUGAGAGCAUAAGACUAAAAAUCAGAAUUCGCGCACGCCGAGAUGAGCAUGAAUCUGUCAGGGCCCCCUGGUGGACAAACUCUGUCAUGAACGCUCUGUUUGGCUGUACAGUGAGGUAAGACAGUCUUUAGACCUGUCUGAGUCUCUCUGUGACCUCCAGCAGGGCCAACAGAUCCUGUCAGCUGGUGUCUCUGAGUCGAUCUGAGGGCGCUCUGCAGCUUCCAGGCCAACCAGCUCAAUAAACCCAGUGAAACCAGCCAGACCAGUCCGCUGGAGUGUGGCAAACGUGACGUUUAAAUCAACCUUCACAAACCUCCAGCUUCUAUCAGGUUGUUGUGGUGGAGCAGUUUGAUGAGAAAAUGUUUAAAAACUAUCAAUAUGUUUUAUAAUAAAAUGAUCUCAAAUAAAUGUAUGUAAAUAUAAUUACAUUUCUGUAUGUAUUUAUUUAAUAAUUAAUCGU
Scatophagus argus is the source of this 3741-nucleotide RNA transcript. It is a transcript of the gene named phosphorylase, glycogen; brain, with no coding region annotated. The transcript is spliced from 23 exons. NCBI's taxonomy places the organism in Eukaryota, Metazoa, Chordata, Actinopteri, Scatophagidae. The record is from RefSeq and is a predicted model, not a curated record.